UGGAUGGAUGGAGGGAUGUGGGCCAGGAGAAGGAAAGGAGAAGAGGGCUGUAGCAUGUAGCUGGAGAGAUGAGGAAGCCCCUACCCACAACCCCCAUCCCAUACAGUGCUCUCCACAGGACAGCCGAGUGAAAUGCCGCCCGGUUCCUCUCACAUCUGAACAAGCACAACUCCACUUCCCUUGCAGCUAGACUCAAACCAAGGCUAAAGAAAUCUGAUCUGUGGUCGCGGGGAUGCUGAAGCCUAUCCCAGCAGUCAUUGGGCGGAAGGCGGGGAGACAUCCUGGACAGGCCGCCAGGC
Molecule: long non-coding RNA, 299 nt
Organism: Lampris incognitus (smalleye Pacific opah)
Lineage: Eukaryota; Metazoa; Chordata; Actinopteri; Lampriformes; Lampridae
Exons: 3
Source: RefSeq, a predicted model, not a curated record